This 430-nucleotide ribosomal RNA is filed under the name Pseudomonadota bacterium. RNAcentral's name for it is "Proteobacteria bacterium partial 16S ribosomal RNA". It matches the Rfam family "Bacterial small subunit ribosomal RNA", at positions 355 to 776 of the family's 1533-position model. Lineage: Bacteria; Pseudomonadati; Pseudomonadota. The record is from RNAcentral.
UGGGGAAUAUUGGACAAUGGGGGGAACCCUGAUCCAGCCAUGCCGCGUGUGUGAAGAAGGCCUUAUGGUUGUAAAGCACUUUAAGCGAGGAGGAGGGUACUGGUAUUAAUACUACCAGGUACUGGACGUUACUCGCAGAAUAAGCACCGCCUAACUCUGUGCCAGCAGCCGCGGUAAUACAGAGGGUGCAAGCGUUAAUCGGAAUUACUGGGCGUAAGGCGCGCGUAGGUGGUUCGUUAAGUUGAAUGUGAAAGCCCCGGGCUCAACCUGGGAACUGCAUCCAAAACUGGCGAGCUAGAGUAGGGCAGAGGGUGGUGGAAUUUCCUGUGUAGCGGUGAAAUGCGUAGACAUAGGAAGGAACACCAGUGGCGAAGGCGACCACCUGGGCUCAUACUGACACUGAGGUGCGAAAGCGUGGGGAGCAAACAGG